Austrofundulus limnaeus is the source of this 270-nucleotide long non-coding RNA. RefSeq lists it as uncharacterized. NCBI's taxonomy places the organism in Eukaryota, Metazoa, Chordata, Actinopteri, Cyprinodontiformes, Rivulidae. The transcript has 3 exons. The record is from RefSeq and is a predicted model, not a curated record.
CUGCAGCACGAAACCAUGAGUCCAUGGCUGGACCGGCCCGGCUCAGUUGUACAUGGUCAUUUGGAGCCACUGCAACCAAAUAAAGACCAGCUUCAUCAGCAGGUACAGGAAGCCGGGGUAGCUGAUGGUCAUGUCUGGUUCUGUGUAUCUGAGUCCCACCAGCUGCAUCACCAGCUCAUCCACCUUGAUACCUGCAGACACAGCAUCCUUCCAACAUCAUCUGCUCCUGGACUACAGUGAAGAUGCUGAGCUGCUCGUACCGUCCACCUC